Molecule: ribosomal RNA, 468 nt
Filed under: uncultured bacterium
Lineage: Bacteria
Description: partial 16S ribosomal RNA
Rfam family: Bacterial small subunit ribosomal RNA
Source: RNAcentral
GACGAACGCUGGCGGCGUGCUUAACACAUGCAAGUCGAACGGAAAGGCCCUGCUUUUGUGGGGUGCUCGAUUGGCGAACGGGUGAGUAACACGUGAGUAACCUGCCCUUGACUUUGGGAUAACUUCAGGAAACUGGGGCUAAUACCGGAUAGGAGCUCCUGCUGCAUGGUGGGGGUUGGAAAGUUUCGGCUGUUGGGGAUGGACUCGCGGCUUAUCAGCUUGUUGGUGUGGUAGUGGCUUACCAAGGCUUUGACGGGUAGCCUGCCUGAGAGGGUGACCGGCCACAUUGGGACUGAGAUACGGCCCAGACUCCUACGGGAGGCAGCAGUGGGGAAUAUUGCACAAUGGGCGGAAGCCUGAUGCAGCAACGCCGCGUGCGGGAUGACGGCCUUCGGGUUGUAAACCGCUUUCGCCUGUGACGAAGCGUGAGUGACGGUAAUGGGUAAAGAAGCACCGGCUAACUACGUG